GACGAACGCUGGCGGCGUGCUUAACACAUGCAAGUCGAACGGGAUUUAGUAGACAGUAGCCUCGGCUAAAGAUUACUAAUGAGAGUUGCGAACUGGUUAGUAACGCGUGAGCAACCUGCCUAUUACAGUGGGAUAGCCUCGGUAAACCGGGAUUAAUACCGCAUAAAAUCGUAGAAACACAUGUUUCAACGGUCAAAGAUUUAUCGGUCAUAUAUGGGCUCGCUUCUGAUUAGCUAGUUGGUGAGAUAACAGCCCACCAAGGCGACGAUCAGGAGCCGGUCUGAGGGGCUGACCGGCCACAUUGGAACUGAGACACGGUCCAAACUCCUACGGGAGGCAGCAGUGGGGAAUAUUGCACGAUGGGGGAUACCCUGAUGCCGCGACGCCGCGUGAACGAAGAAGGUAUUCGUAUCGUAAAGUUCUGUCCUAUGGGAAGAUAAUGACAGUACCAUAGAAGAAAGCUCCGGCUAAAUACGUG
Molecule: ribosomal RNA, 478 nt
Filed under: uncultured bacterium
Lineage: Bacteria
Description: partial 16S ribosomal RNA
Rfam family: Bacterial small subunit ribosomal RNA
Source: RNAcentral